Molecule: non-coding RNA, 71 nt
Organism: Dipodomys ordii (Ord's kangaroo rat)
Lineage: Eukaryota; Metazoa; Chordata; Mammalia; Rodentia; Heteromyidae
Source: Rfam
GGGAAGUUGGCUUAGUGGUAGAGUGCUUGCCUCGCAUGCAUGAGACCUGGGUUUGAUUCCUCAACACCACA